This 253-nucleotide ribosomal RNA is filed under the name uncultured bacterium. RNAcentral describes it as "partial 16S ribosomal RNA". It matches the Rfam family "Bacterial small subunit ribosomal RNA", at positions 524 to 776 of the family's 1533-position model. The record is from RNAcentral.
UACGAAGGGGGCUAGCGUUGUUCGGAUUUACUGGGCGUAAAGCGCACGUAGGCGGAUCGUUAAGUCGGGGGUGAAAUCCUGGAGCUCAACUCCAGAACUGCCUUCGAUACUGGCGAUCUUGAGUCCGGAAGAGGUGAGUGGAACUCCUAGUGUAGAGGUGGAAUUCGUAGAUAUUAGGAAGAACACCAGUGGCGAAGGCGGCUCACUGGUCCGGUACUGACGCUGAGGGGCGAAAGCGUGGGGAGCGAACGGG